Molecule: non-coding RNA, 99 nt
Filed under: Nelumbo nucifera (sacred lotus)
Lineage: Eukaryota; Viridiplantae; Streptophyta; Magnoliopsida; Proteales; Nelumbonaceae
Source: RNAcentral
GUGUUCAUUGAAAGGAGAGACGGUUGGCAUCUCCCCUGACAGUGACAAGGACGGGAACAGGACUGACUGAGAGAGAGAGAACGAGGAUAAAAUAUAUAU